Molecule: long non-coding RNA, 637 nt
Filed under: Ananas comosus (pineapple)
Lineage: Eukaryota; Viridiplantae; Streptophyta; Magnoliopsida; Poales; Bromeliaceae
Description: long non-coding RNA (ACOM_LNC039553)
Source: RNAcentral
UCAAAUUCGGCUUGAAAUUAAUUUCGAGCCUAAAUCUAGGCUCAAGCUCGGCUUGAAAUUAAUUCGAGCCGAGCUCGAGCGAGCCUAAUUUCGAGUCGAGCCGAGCUCGAGCUCUAAACGAGCCGAUUGAAAUUCUCGACAUUAUAUAAUCAAUAGUUUAAUUUUUAUAGAAUAUUACCUACAAUUUGAUGCAACAUGUCCAAUAGUUCAAAAUACAAAAUAAUUGUAAGAAAUGUGAGCUAGGGUGACUGCCUGACUGGGUGAGGGUCAGAGAGAGAGAGAGAGGGAAAAAAAUUAGAGAUUUGGGAAUUUGAAUGUUAUUAUGUUUUAGGGUUAUGUGCAAUAGUGAAAGUCUGAAAGAGAGAGUGUGUUAUGUAAAUUUAGAGUUGGGCUCAAUUGCACGGUUGUACUUGUUGGGUUUAUUUUAUGGGCCAACAAUAAUGGCCCAAAUUAAAUUAAAGCCAAUAUAAUUAAAAUACAUUAUAUUUAUAAAUAUUAUAUAUAUAUAUAUUUUCGAGCUUUCGAGCUUUUCGAGCCUAAUUUGAACGAGCCGAGUAAUACUCAAGCUCGGCUUGAAAUGAAUUUCGAGCCUUUUAUUUUGUUCAAGCUCGGCUCAUUUAAUUUCGAGUCGAGCUCG